This 617-nucleotide long non-coding RNA is filed under the name Lupinus angustifolius (narrow-leaved blue lupine). RNAcentral describes it as "long non-coding RNA (LANG_LNC001753)". The record is from RNAcentral. Lineage: Eukaryota; Viridiplantae; Streptophyta; Magnoliopsida; Fabales; Fabaceae.
GAGGUCUGAAAUUUAGUUUGUACUUGGCGGCCUGAAACAUACACAUUUUUUAAAUAUGCAAAAACAACAUAUACAAAACCCCGGAACGUCGCAUGCACAAGGAGGACAAUCUUCGGUUUUGCCGCAGGGAUCGCCAUAACCUGGUUUUUUAACUUCAGCCUGAAGCUCCAAGCCUAAAGAUACAUUAAAGUUUGUAAUCAAUUAGUAGAUAUUUGUAUUAAUGUGAAGAUGAAUUAAUUUAGAAGCGUUUUAUUUAGAUUAUAUUAGACACCACGAUGAGACCGACAAUAUUUGUAUAUAGUACGUUACAUGAGUAAAUACGUGAGAUACUUCUUAUGAAAUUGUAUUGGAAAAAAUGCAAACACAUUUUUGCAUUGAAGUUAAUCGAGAAGAAACAAUCAUAAGUUAAUAGAGAAUUCUAAAAAAUAAUCAUUUCCUAGGAUCCUAAAAACGUUGUAAUUAAAAUAAAUUAAGGAAUUAAUUGUUUGUCAGAUUUAAAUAAAAAACUAAAUGAAUCUUCUACUAGUAAAAUGGAAAAAAUACCUGAAGCAACAACAAAGAGGAAGACAAAGAAAAACACGACAACCAAGGACUUCUUCAUAUUUUGUUGGGUAUAG